GGGUGGGUCACGUUCGGUCAGCAACAGUAAUUUAGGGAGCAUCUUCUUAUUCGUCAGCAAGUCCUCGCAACAUCUUCACCUUCUUUUCGUUGAUUUCAGCUCAAACUGAAGGAAUCUGUUUGAUUGGUUAAUAACCUGGGGAAAAAUGUCAUUGAUUUUGGGUUGUAGGCACGUUAUCAAACAUGAAGGUGAUUGCCUGAACAUCCAAACAAAUCCCUCGGGUCUAAUAGACUAUGGUUUAAGUGUUAUUCCUGUUGAUAAUUUUGUUCUUGAUCUCAGUGAUUAUAAUUGUGAAACUGAGGAAGGACUCAGAAGAUUCGGAAGGGCCAUCCAAGACAGUUCCACUCGAAGUUCUUAAAAGAGAAAGAAGGCUGCUACAAGGAGAAUUGUUGCAGGAGAGCAGGGAUGCAAUAAUGGCCAAACACGCAUUCCUCCUGUUUACAUCAUAUCCACGAAGUCGUGCUCCCAAGUUGGGGAAGCACCUGCAAAUUGGGAGGAGGUCCUUGAAGAUGCACCAGUAGACGCUACGGGAUGACAUUCGUUUUUGUUAUUCAAACUGGGAGUCUUCAUGCACCAAAGAUGGUGAUUUAUUAUGGUAGCUUGAAAGUGAUUCAAGGGGUUUCUUUUUGAAGAUCCAAACUUUAUAAAGGUGGAGUGGGUCUGUGCUUCGAGCUGUCACUAAAGAAAAACUACAAUUAAGGUGAAAGAGGUAGUCAAGUAAACAUUUAGAGGUAGCCAAUUUGAAGGGGUUUUUCUCAUUUGGUUAUAUGAGUAUUGCCUCCCAAGCCCAAAAAAAAAUUUAGAAGCGGAUCAACAUAAUAAAGAAGUCAAGUAAUGAUCCGGUUUGGUUCUUAUUUAUCACUCUCUAAAUCUAAAGAGGCUUUACAAGGUGGUCUGUGAAGACUAUGCCAUCGUCGGCUAAAGCUUUCAAGUUGGUGGGGGAUGUACGAACUAUUCCGAAUUGGUUCACCCAUUUGGGCUUUUGCUUAUUUGUUUGUGUGGAAGAAUCUAUUCAUGGUUUAUUUGGAUUCCCUUGGGAGUUUAGAAAGGUCUUUAUUUUGAAGUUUUUUGGUUGUUUUAGAGCAACGGAUCGGUGCAAAAAGAAGAUCCAACGGUGUUUCGGUUCAUGUGUUUAAGGCAAGCCGGAUGAGAUUAAACUUUAGAGUUUAGAAGGUUAUGUGCAAUGGUUCAUUUAAGUUAUUUGACUUAUUUCUAAUUUAGAAGGGGAAUGUGCUGCUUAGGAGAACAUUUUUUUUAGAGCGGUAAAUAGUCUACAUGGAAAUGUUCUGCAUUUAGUGUAACUUAUUCAGAAUAAGUUUUGAGGGUGCCUUGCAUGGUACUUACCUCAAAGAAGUACCAAGGUAAUCCCAACUCUUCCGUUUAUGUAUGGAGUUUGUAGCUUAGUAAAUAUGGGUCACUGUACCAUCAUGUAAGAUACUGUUUUACCCAAAAAGAAAAAUAAUCUCUUUUUACCUUGCGAGUUGCGAUCCGUUUCUUUUAAUUCAUUGUAAGAUUUUGAUUUGGUUUUUAGGUUUAAUUACAGGGUUGCAAAAUACAAACUGAUUAGUUUUCAUCGGUUUAGUUUAACCUAUUUUGUGUUUGAUGCAGGGGCUAAAGCUUGGAGAAGGUGAGGUUGAGUUGGUGGUUCCUAUGCAGGGUAACAGGUGAAACAAAUGAAAAUAGUGAAAAAAAGCAACAAAGUUGCAAGAGCUUCUGGAUAGUAUUGCAGAAGGUAUAUGUUCUUUUACUGUUUGUUCUACUUGAGGUUAUAUGGUACUACAAAGGUUGAUGUAGUUACAGUAAGAUAAUUUUAUCCCUAGAUAUUUCCAUUGACUUUAUCUAAUCGAGUUUUGUGAGUCUGUUUUUGUUCGAUCUAUUUCGACUUUAAUGGGGUGGCAUAUUCGUUUUUUCCAUGGUUUGUAAUAAUGAUUUUGUUAGCAUCAAAGAUUCUGACAUCUUCUUCA
This is a long non-coding RNA of Papaver somniferum (opium poppy), 1964 nucleotides long. RefSeq lists it as uncharacterized. Lineage: Eukaryota; Viridiplantae; Streptophyta; Magnoliopsida; Ranunculales; Papaveraceae. The record is from RefSeq and is a predicted model, not a curated record. The transcript has 7 exons.